GUCUAUUAUGAUGAUAUUUAUAGUCUAGCCUGCUCAGUGACAUAGAGAUGUUAAAUAGCCGCGGUAUUCUGACCGUGCAAAGGGUAGCAUAAUCAUUAGUUUCUUAAUUGGGAACUGGAAUGAAUGGUCAAACAAAGAAAGAACUGUCUUUUUCAUUAAAAUUGAAAUUAACUUCCAAGUGAAAAGGCUUGGAUUUACUAAGGGGACGAUAAGACCCUAUAAAGCUUUAUAAGUUUAGGAAUUUUAAAUAUUUUGUAGAUAAAUUUAUUUUCCAAUAUCUUAUUUGGUUGGGGCGACAAAGGUAUAAUUAUGAAUAACUGCUAUUAUUAACAAUACAUCUAUCGUUGGCUAAAAUUUAUAAUAAUUGAUCCUUUUUAGAGAUUAAAAGAUCAAGUUACUUUAGGGAUAACAGCAUAAUUUUUCCUGAGAGUUCUUAUCAAAGGAGAAGUUUGUGACCUCGAUGUUGAAUUAAAAUGUCUUUAUAGUGCAGCAGCUA
This 496-nucleotide ribosomal RNA is filed under the name Monomia argentata. Its description in RNAcentral is "partial 16S ribosomal RNA". It matches the Rfam family "Archaeal large subunit ribosomal RNA", at positions 1921 to 2633 of the family's 2987-position model. The record is from RNAcentral. Lineage: Eukaryota; Metazoa; Arthropoda; Malacostraca; Decapoda; Portunidae.